Molecule: transfer RNA, 63 nt
Filed under: Mimathyma nycteis
Lineage: Eukaryota; Metazoa; Arthropoda; Insecta; Lepidoptera; Nymphalidae
Description: Apatura nycteis tRNA-Cys
Source: RNAcentral
AGUCUUAUAUUCAAUAAUGAUAUAAAAUUGCAAAUUUUAUGGUGUAUUAAAAUACUAAGGCUU